AUUGAACGCUGGCGGCAGGCUUAACACAUGCAAGUCGAGCGGAGCGAGGGUGCUUGCACCUUAGCUUAGCGGCGGACGGGUGAGUAAUGCUUAGGAAUCUGCCUAUUAGUGGGGGACAACAUUCCGAAAGGAAUGCUAAUACCGCAUACGCCCUACGGGGGAAAGCAGGGGAUCUUCGGACCUUGCUCUAAUAGAUGAGCCUAAGUCGGAUUAGCUAGUUGGUGGGGUAAAGGCCUACCAAGGCGACGAUCUGGAGCGGGUCUGAGAGGAUGUUCCGCCACACUGGGACUGAGACACGGCCCAGACUCCUACGGGAGGCAGCAGUGGGGAAUAUUGGACAAUGGGCGGAAGCCUGAUCCAGCCAUGCCGCGUGUGUGAAGAAGGCCUUUUGGUUGUAAAGCACUUUAAGCGAGGAGGAGGCUACUUAGAUUAAUACUCUGGGAUAGUGGACGUUACUCGCAGAAUAAGCACCGGCUAACUCUGUGCCAGCAGCCGCCGUAA
Molecule: ribosomal RNA, 501 nt
Filed under: uncultured bacterium
Lineage: Bacteria
Description: partial 16S ribosomal RNA
Rfam family: Bacterial small subunit ribosomal RNA
Source: RNAcentral